Long non-coding RNA from Equus asinus (donkey), 868 nucleotides. The record is from Ensembl. NCBI's taxonomy places the organism in Eukaryota, Metazoa, Chordata, Mammalia, Perissodactyla, Equidae.
UUAAUAUCUGUUCUUUUUUUUUUGUUUGAGGAAGAUUAGCACUGAGCUAACAUCUGCUGCUAAUCCUCCUCUUUUUGCUGAGGAAGACUGCCCCUGAGCUAACAUCUGUGCCCAUCUUCAUCUACUUUAUACGUGGGACGCCUGCCACAGCAUGGUUUGCCGAGUGGUGCCAUGUCUGAACCCGGGAUCCGAACCCGCAAAUCCCAGGCUGCCGAAGCAGAACAUGUGAACUUAACCACUGUGCCACCGGGUCUGCACCACUAAUAAUAUGUUUUGAUACCAUAUUUAAUUUUGUUUCUUCCUCUCCUAGGUAAAUCCUCGAGUAUAUCAAGGUUGGAGUCUAAAUGACAACGUAGAGGGAGUUGCCAUCUAUUGAGUUAAUUUACAUCACAUUUCUGAGAAGACUAAGAAUUACAUGAAGGAAAACUCAGAACACAUCAAAACAACGUUCAUUUGUGAACAGAAGAUAACGAAGCAAAGAAACAUACUCAAGAAAAUAAGAGGAAACUAAGAUUCUCUGUGAUGAGGCACAUAACUUUAAGGUCAAUAUGGCUGCAAGAGCACAUGUUCCUUUCCCAGAAUUGCACUACACACCCUACCCGUGGGCUGCCCUUUAUCACCACUCAUGGACCAUGGGCCACCUCCACCUCCUGCAUGCUGGUGUCCUCUGGGACUUCAACUACCACCUCCACCAAUUGGUGGGAUGAUCUGAACAAUCACUAACGACAAAGGUUGUCAAAUUAGAAAUGGAGUGGGAGACAGCUAGAGAAAAUGGACAAGCAACAACGUAAUGAGAGCUAACAUUCCAGAAAAAGCAAAAAGUCUUCCCAAACCUGAGUCAUCUCCUGAAGACAUCACUGAAUUACAG